This 373-nucleotide ribosomal RNA is filed under the name uncultured Gammaproteobacteria bacterium. RNAcentral describes it as "bacterial SSU rRNA". It matches the Rfam family "Bacterial small subunit ribosomal RNA", at positions 794 to 1164 of the family's 1533-position model. Lineage: Bacteria; Pseudomonadati; Pseudomonadota; Gammaproteobacteria. The record is from RNAcentral.
UCCACGCUGUAAACGAUGUCGAUUUAGAGGUUGUGGUCUUGAACCGUGGCUUCUGGAGCUAACGCGUUAAAUCGACCGCCUGGGGAGUACGGCCGCAAGGUUAAAACUCAAAUGAAUUGACGGGGGCCCGCACAAGCGGUGGAGCAUGUGGUUUAAUUCGAUGCAACGCGAAGAACCUUACCUACUCUUGACAUCCAGAGAAUCCUUUAGAGAUAGAGGAGUGCCUUCGGGAACUCUGAGACAGGUGCUGCAUGGCUGUCGUCAGCUCGUGUUGUGAAAUGUUGGGUUAAGUCCCGCAACGAGCGCAACCCUUAUCCUUUGUUGCCAGCGCGUGAUGGCGGGAACUCAAAAGGAGACUGCCGGUGAUAAAACC